This 527-nucleotide ribosomal RNA is filed under the name uncultured bacterium. Its description in RNAcentral is "bacterial SSU rRNA". It matches the Rfam family "Bacterial small subunit ribosomal RNA", at positions 356 to 883 of the family's 1533-position model. The record is from RNAcentral.
GAGGAAUAUUGCGCAAUGGAGGCAACUCUGACGCAGCCAUGCCGCGUGCAGGAAGAAGGCGCUACGCGUUGUAAACUGCUUUUAUCCGGGAAGAAACCCCAGGACGUGUCCUGGGUUGACGGUACCGGAGGAAUAAGCACCGGCUAACUUCGUGCCAGCAGCCGCGGUAAUACGAAGGGUGCAAGCGUUAUCCGGAUUCAUUGGGUUUAAAGGGUGCGUAGGCGGAACAAUAAGUCAGCGGUGAAAGCCCGUAGCUUAACUACGGAAUUGCCGUUGAUACUGUUGUUCUUGAGUACGCUUGACGUGGGCGGAAUGUGCCGUGUAGCGGUGAAAUGCUUAGAUAUGGCACAGAACACCGAUAGUGAAGACAGCUCACGAAGGCGAAACUGACGCUGAGGCACGAAAGCGUGGGGAUCAAACAGGAUUAGAUACCCUGGUAGUCCACGCCGUAAACGAUGAUCACUCGUGAUUGGCGAUAUACGGUCAGUCACCUAGCGAAAGCGUUAAGUGAUCCACCUGGGGAGUAC